Spinacia oleracea (spinach) is the source of this 1338-nucleotide long non-coding RNA. RefSeq lists it as uncharacterized. NCBI's taxonomy places the organism in Eukaryota, Viridiplantae, Streptophyta, Magnoliopsida, Caryophyllales, Amaranthaceae. The record is from RefSeq and is a predicted model, not a curated record. The transcript is spliced from 2 exons.
GUUAAAAAUAAUAACCGUAUUACCCUUAUUUCUAUACCCAAAUAUAGAGUAACUAGAAGAUCCCAUAAAUUAAAGACCUAGCUUUACAAUUCCAACUCCUCUUCCUUCUAGCCGCCUCCUCAAAUUCAAUCCUCUUCUUUGAACUUUUUCUUCUACCUAAAACUUAAGUAUUCUUCCUUUCUCACUCCUCUUUUUUACCAAUUAAAAUCAACAAUCUUCAUCGUCUGCACCUGUGUAAGAAUUCACUUUUUUGGUCGAAUUUGGGUAAUUUGAAGCAAUUGAGUAUAUUUUAAUUUUUGAAGCGAUUUUUCAUUGUUUGGUGGGUCUUUCAAACAAAAGUCUUAAGUUAGCGGUACUUUGGUUGCUCUUAGGAUGAUGCAGGCUCAAUUUCCUAAGCUUGAGAAGAAAUUGAACCUGCUGACUGAUGUGCAUGUUUUGUAAUCCUGAAUUAUUCUCACGAGUAAAGAACAGAGGGACCCCUCUAUGAAUGUAAGUAUCCUUCAGUUAUCCAUCCUAUUUAUAUUCAUUAGGACAGAUAUUACAAUUAUCGUUGUUGAACUCUAUGCUUGCAUUGCUGAUGCUUUAGAAAAUUUCUAAUGUAUUUGAAACACAAAGAUUUUUUAAUCUUUUGAUCCUGUUGAAUGUAUUGUCUGGUUGUAUUUUUGAUGUGUACCCAGAACCGAAGAGGAGAACAACUACAUUUUACAGGGGAAGGUCUAGCGUGCUAAAUACUUCCUCUAUUCCUUUUUAAAUGACACAAUUAUUUAGGCACGUUUGCCAAUGCACGAUUUCAAACGUUAAUAUCUUUUAUUAUGGAUAAGAAAAAAUUAUAUAAAAUUGAUAUUUAAAAAAUAUUUAUUGAGACGAAUCUAAUAAGAUUCCACACGACUAUGUUUUUUCUUAUGUAUAAAUCACAAAAGUAACUCAAAGAAACAUGUGUGAAUAGUGUCGAAAGUACAAUUGUGUCAUGUAAAUAAGAAUGGAGGAAGUAUAUCACAGGGUCGUUCAAUCAAGGAGUAUGUCAUUCAACCCAUACCGUGUCAGAUCCAGGUCUCAAUGCACUUGCUGCUACUUUUGAAAGCCAAAAUACCAAGAAUUCUUUUGUUUGUUUUGGUGCACAUCAAUGUAGCUUUUAUUUUUGGGAAGUGAAGGAUAGUGGUUGUGGACUUGUAAACUGUAGGCUCUUUUCCUGAUUUUUUUUAUUGUUAUCUUUAAUUGAAUUUCAAUGAUGUAUAUACUCGGUAGAUGUUAAUUUUAACAAUGGCAAGAUGUUAUUCGUGUUUUGCAAAGUUGAAGUUACAAGCACUUGGAAAAUAAUAAAGUUGAUAUUUAUUUUAA